GACAGAGGCCUCAAGCGUUAGGCGGAAUCACUGGGCUUAAAGCGUGUGUAGGCGGGUGCCUAAGUACCUUGUGAAAUCCCACGGCUCAACCGUGGAACUGCUGGGUAUACUGGGUGCCUUGGGUCAUCUAGGGGCUGCCGGAACAAAUGGUGGAGCGGUGAAAUGCGUAGAUAUCAUUUGGAACGCCAACGGCGAAAGCAGGCAGCUGGGGAUGCACCGACGCUGAGACACGAAAGCCAGGGGAGCGAACGGG
RNAcentral lists this ribosomal RNA (253 nucleotides) under uncultured bacterium. RNAcentral describes it as "partial 16S ribosomal RNA". It matches the Rfam family "Bacterial small subunit ribosomal RNA", at positions 524 to 776 of the family's 1533-position model. The record is from RNAcentral.